AAGUCGUAACAAGGUCUCCGUAGGUGAACCUGCGGAGGGGAUCAUUACCAGAGUUUCACUGGCCCUCGGGUAGACCUCCCACCCUUGUGUAUUCAUACCUUUGUUGCUUUGGCAGGCCGCCAGGCUUCGGCCAGGCUAUCGGCUCCGGCUGGUAAGAGCCUGCCAAAGGACCCUAAAAUCUCUGAAUGUUAGUGUCGUCUGAGUACUAUAUAAUGUUAAAA
This 221-nucleotide unclassified non-coding RNA is filed under the name plant metagenome. RNAcentral's name for it is "partial contains small subunit ribosomal RNA and internal transcribed spacer 1". The stretch from base 1 to 47 matches the Rfam family "Eukaryotic small subunit ribosomal RNA", at positions 1786 to 1831 of the family's 1831-position model. The record is from RNAcentral.